RNAcentral lists this ribosomal RNA (480 nucleotides) under uncultured bacterium. Its description in RNAcentral is "partial 16S ribosomal RNA". It matches the Rfam family "Bacterial small subunit ribosomal RNA", at positions 28 to 523 of the family's 1533-position model. The record is from RNAcentral.
GACGAACGCUGGCGGCGUGCUUAACACAUGCAAGUCGAGCGGAAAGGCCACUUCGGUGGUACUCGAGCGGCGAACGGGUGAGUAACACGUGAGUAAUCUGCCCCUGGCUUUGGGAUAGCCACCGGAAACGGUGAUUAAUACCGGAUACGACCACUUCUCGCAUGGGAUGGUGGUGGAAAGUUUUUUCGGCCAGGGAUGUGCUCGCGGCCUAUCAGCUUGAUGGUGAGGUAAUGGCUCACCAUGGCUUCGACGGGUAGCCGGCCUGAGAGGGUGACCGGUCACAAUGGGACUGAGACACGGCGCAGACUCCUACGGGAGGCAGCAGUGGGGAAGAUUGGACAUGGGCGGAAGCCUGAUCCAGCAACGCCGCGUGAGGGAUGACGGCCUUCGGGUUGUAAACCUCUUUCAGCAGGGACGAAGCGCAAGUGACGGUACCUGCAGAAGAAGCACCGGCCAACUACGUGCCAGCCGCCGCCGUAA